RNAcentral lists this ribosomal RNA (468 nucleotides) under uncultured bacterium. Its description in RNAcentral is "partial 16S ribosomal RNA". It matches the Rfam family "Bacterial small subunit ribosomal RNA", at positions 28 to 507 of the family's 1533-position model. The record is from RNAcentral.
GACGAACGCUGGCGGCGUGCUUAACACAUGCAAGUCGAACGGAAAGGCCCUGCUUUUGUGGGGUGCUCGAGUGGCGAACGGGUGAGUAACACGUGAGUAACCUGCCCUUGACUUUGGGAUAACUUCAGGACACUGGGGCUAAUACCGGAUAGGAGCUCCUGCUGCCUGGUGGGGGUUGGAAAGUUUCGGCGGUUGGGGAUGGACUCGCGGCUUAUCAGCUUGUUGGUGGGGUAGUGGCUUACCAAGGCUUUGACGGGUAGCCGGCCUGAGAGGGUGACCGGCCACAUUGGGACUGAGGUACGGCCCAGACGCCUACGGGAGGCAGCAGUGGGGAAUAUUGCACAAUGGGCGGAAGCCGGAUGCAGCAACGCCGCGUGCGGGAUGACGGCCUUCGGGUUGUAAACCGCUUUCGCCUGUGACGAAGCGUGAGUGACGGUAAUGGGUAAAGAAGCACCGGCUAACUACGUG